AAUAAAAUGGCUGAUUAAAGGCGAUAAAUUGUAAAUUUAUUUAUGAAAUUAUUUUUUCUUUUAUUA
RNAcentral lists this transfer RNA (66 nucleotides) under Metallus mai. RNAcentral describes it as "tRNA-Tyr". Lineage: Eukaryota; Metazoa; Arthropoda; Insecta; Hymenoptera; Tenthredinidae. The record is from RNAcentral.